RNAcentral lists this unclassified non-coding RNA (170 nucleotides) under uncultured fungus. RNAcentral's name for it is "sequence contains ITS1". The record is from RNAcentral. Lineage: Eukaryota; Fungi.
CAAUAUUGCAAAGUGAUUUAUGGCACUUUUCAUAAAAAAAAAAAAUCCAUAUCCACCUUGUGUGCAAUGUUUGUUCUGUCGAAAGGCAGAAUUUUCAUCAACCUUUCUUAAACCUAAAAUGUCUGAAGAAAACAGUUUUUUUUUUAUAACACAUAAAAAAAUAAAAAAAA